AUUGAACGCUAGCGGCAGGCCUAAUACAUGCAAGUCGAACGGCAGCACGGUGUAGCAAUACAUUGGUGGCGAGUGGCGCACGGGUGCAUAACACGUAUGUAAUUUGCCCAUAACUGGGAGAUAGCCUUCCGAAAGGAAGAUUAAUACCCCAUAACCCAGCGAGGUGGCAUCACUUUUCUGGUAAAGCUCCGGCGGUUAUGGAUAAGCAUGCGUCCGAUUAGCUAGUUGGCGAGGUAAAAGCUCACCAAGGCAACGAUCGGUAGGGGGUCUGAGAGGAUGAUCAGCCACACGGGAACUGAGAAACGGUCCCGACUCCUACGGGGGGCAGCAGUGAGGAAUAUUGGGCAAUGGACGAAAGUCUGACCCAGCAACGCCGCGUGGAGGAUGAAGGUUUUUGGAUUGUAAACUCCUUUUGUGGGGGAAGAGUGAGGACGGUACCCCAAGAAUAAGUC
RNAcentral lists this ribosomal RNA (452 nucleotides) under uncultured bacterium. RNAcentral's name for it is "bacterial SSU rRNA". It matches the Rfam family "Bacterial small subunit ribosomal RNA", at positions 30 to 492 of the family's 1533-position model. The record is from RNAcentral.